Molecule: transfer-messenger RNA, 353 nt
Rfam family: transfer-messenger RNA
About the family: Bacterial tmRNA, also known as 10Sa RNA or SsrA, is named for its dual tRNA and mRNA-like properties. Its role is to liberate the mRNA from a stalled ribosome.
GGGGCUGAGUUAGGUUCGACGGGGAGAUCCGCGGUCGGUGUAAGCAGGCGGAGUUGCGAGCUCUCCUAAAACGAUCGCAAGCGUUUUACACGCAAACAAUCAAUACGCACUGGCUGCUUAAUUAGCUAGCCACGGGAUGCGAGAGGUCGCUGGAAUCAGCUCGCAAACCGUCAUGAACUCCAGCUAGGAGGUGGUGGUGAUCUUCAUCAUCGUCCAAAAUUGAAAGGAUCUGCUGCGAACAAAAUCCCGGUUUCGAGGAGACGUUCGUUUAAGAUAAAAUCGAAACUGUAGCCUGAAGAAAGCGCCGGCUCGGCUUUUCGGACUCGGGGGGCAGUUCCCCGACAGCUCCACCA